Molecule: ribosomal RNA, 459 nt
Filed under: uncultured bacterium
Lineage: Bacteria
Description: partial 16S ribosomal RNA
Rfam family: Bacterial small subunit ribosomal RNA
Source: RNAcentral
CCUACGGGAGGCAGCAGUGAGGAAUAUUGGUCAAUGGCCGGAAGGCUGAACCAGCCAAGCCGCGUGAAGGACGAAGGUGCCAAGCAUUGUAAACUUCUUUUGUCAAGGGACAAAAUCAGGCUCGAGAGCCUGACCGAGGGUACUUGAAGAACAAGCAUCGGCUAACUCCGUGCCAGCAGCCGCGGUAAUACGGAGGAUGCGAGCGUUAUCCGGAUUUAUUUGGUUUAAAGGGUGCGUAGGCGGGCUGUUAAGUCAGCGGUAAAAGCCCGGGGCUCAACCCCGGCGAGCCGUUGAAACUGGCUGUCUGGAGAGGGCGAGAGGUAUGCGGAAUGCGCAGUGUAGCGGUGAAAUGCUUAGAUAUGGCGCAGAACUCCGAUGGCGAAGGCAGCAUACCGGCGGAGAUCUGACGCUGAGGCACGAAAGCGUGGGUAUCGAACAGGAUUAGAUACCCCAGUAGUC